This 468-nucleotide ribosomal RNA is filed under the name uncultured bacterium. Its description in RNAcentral is "partial 16S ribosomal RNA". It matches the Rfam family "Bacterial small subunit ribosomal RNA", at positions 28 to 523 of the family's 1533-position model. The record is from RNAcentral.
GAUGAACGCUGGCGGCGUGCCUAACAUAUGCAAGUCGAGCGAUCUUCUUCGGAAGAGAGCGGCGGACGGGUGAGUAACGCGUGGGUAACCUGCCCUGUACACACGGAUAACAUACCGAAAGGUAUGCUAAUACGAGAUAAUAUGCUUUUAUCGCAUGGUAGAAGUAUCAAAGCUCCGGCGGUACAGGAUGGACCCGCGUCUGAUUAGCUAGUUGGUAAGGUAACGGCUUACCAGGGCGACGAUCAGUAGCCGACCUGAGAGGGUGAUCGGCCACAUUGGAACUGAGACACGGUCCAAACUCCUACGGGAGGCAGCAGUGAGGAAUAUUGCACAAUGGGCGAAAGCCUGAUGCAGCAACGCCGCGUGAGCGAUGAAGGCCUUCGGGUCGUAAAGCUCUGUCCUCAAGGAAGAUAAUGACGGUACUUGAGGAGGAAGCCCCGGCUAACUACGUGCCAGCCGCCGCGGUAA